GAUGAAGAACGCAGCGAAAUGCGAUACGUAAUGUGAAUUGCAGAAUUCAGUGAAUCAUCGAGUCUUUGAACGCACAUUGCGCCCCCUGGUAUUCCGGGGGGCAUGCCUGUCCGAGCGUCAUUGCUGCCCUCAAGCCCGGCUUGUGUGUUGGGUCUCGUCCCCCUUCCCGGGGGGACGGGCCCGAAAGGCAGCGGCGGCACCGCGUCCGGUCCUCGAGCGUAUGGGGCUUUGUCACCCGCUCUGUAGGCCCGGCCGGUGCUUGCCGAUCAACCAAAACUUUUUUCCAGGUUGACCUCGGAUCAGGUAGGGAUACCCGCUGAACUUAAGCAUAUCAAUAAGCGGAGGA
RNAcentral lists this unclassified non-coding RNA (346 nucleotides) under soil metagenome. RNAcentral's name for it is "partial contains 5.8S ribosomal RNA, internal transcribed spacer 2, and large subunit ribosomal RNA". The stretch from base 1 to 120 matches the Rfam family "5.8S ribosomal RNA", at positions 35 to 154 of the family's 154-position model. The record is from RNAcentral.